GAUGAACGCUGGCGGCGUGCCUAGUACAUGCAAGUCGAACGAGAUCUUCGGAUCUAGUGGCGGACGGGUGAGUAACACGUUGGUACCUACCCCGAAGUGGGGAAUAACUGCCCGAAAGGGUGGCUAAUACCGCAUAAUACCGUAAGGUUAAAGCAUUUAUGCGCUUCGGGAGGGGCCUGCGUCCCAUUAGCUAGUUGGUAGGGUAAUUGCCUACCAAGGCGACGAUGGGUAGCUGGAUCGAGAGGUUGACCAGCCACACUGGGACUGAGAUACGGCCCAGACUCCUACGGGAGGCAGCAGUAAGGAAUCUUCCACAAUGGACGAAAGUCUGAUGGAGCAACGCCGCGUGCAGGAUGACGGCCUUCGGUUGUAAC
RNAcentral lists this ribosomal RNA (374 nucleotides) under uncultured bacterium. RNAcentral describes it as "bacterial SSU rRNA". It matches the Rfam family "Bacterial small subunit ribosomal RNA", at positions 28 to 429 of the family's 1533-position model. The record is from RNAcentral.